CCUACGGGAGGCAGCAGUGAGGAAUAUUGGUCAAUGGACGUAAGUCUGAACCAGCCAAGUAGCGUGAAGGAUGAAGGCUCUAUGGGUUGUAAACUUCUUUUAUAGGGGAAUAAAGGUAUCCACGUGUGGCUAUUUGCAUGUACCUUAUGAAUAAGCAUCGGCUAACUCCGUGCCAGCAGCCGCGGUAAUACGGAGGAUGCGAGCGUUAUCCGGAUUUAUUGGGUUUAAAGGGUGCGUAGGUGGUUUUUUAAGUCAGUGGUGAAAGUUUGUGGCUCAACCAUAAAAUUGCCGUUGAAACUGGAAGACUUGAGUGUGUUUGAGGUAGGCGGAAUGCGUGGUGUAGCGGUGAAAUGCAUAGAUAUCACGAAGAACUCCGAUUGCGAAGGCAGCUUACUAAGCCAUAACUGACACUGAAGCACGAAAGUGUGGGUAUCAAACAGGAUUAGAUACCCCAGUAGUC
RNAcentral lists this ribosomal RNA (460 nucleotides) under uncultured bacterium. RNAcentral describes it as "partial 16S ribosomal RNA". It matches the Rfam family "Bacterial small subunit ribosomal RNA", at positions 338 to 795 of the family's 1533-position model. The record is from RNAcentral.